RNAcentral lists this transfer RNA (90 nucleotides) under Candidatus Dadabacteria bacterium. Its description in RNAcentral is "tRNA-Ser". It matches the Rfam family "tRNA". Rfam says of the family: Transfer RNA (tRNA) molecules are approximately 80 nucleotides in length. Their secondary structure includes four short double-helical elements and three loops (D, anti-codon, and T loops). Further hydrogen bonds mediate the characteristic L-shaped molecular structure. tRNAs have two regions of fundamental functional importance: the anti-codon, which is responsible for specific mRNA codon recognition, and the 3' end, to which the tRNAs corresponding amino acid is attached (by aminoacyl-tRNA synthetases). tRNAs cope with the degeneracy of the genetic code in two manners: having more than one tRNA (with a specific anti-codon) for a particular amino acid; and 'wobble' base-pairing, i.e. permitting non-standard base-pairing at the 3rd anti-codon position. Lineage: Bacteria; Pseudomonadati; Thermodesulfobacteriota; Candidatus Dadabacteria. The record is from RNAcentral. RNAcentral also lists the same sequence under 1 other name.
GGAGAGGUGACCGAGUGGCUGAAGGUGCACGCCUGGAAAGCGUGUGUGCGUUAACGCGUACCGAGGGUUCGAAUCCCUCCCUCUCCGCCA